This 405-nucleotide RNase P RNA is filed under the name marine eukaryotic metagenome. RNAcentral's name for it is "Bacterial RNase P class A". It matches the Rfam family "Bacterial RNase P class A". From Rfam's summary of the family: Ribonuclease P (RNase P) is a ubiquitous endoribonuclease, found in archaea, bacteria and eukarya as well as chloroplasts and mitochondria. Its best characterised activity is the generation of mature 5'-ends of tRNAs by cleaving the 5'-leader elements of precursor-tRNAs. The record is from RNAcentral.
GGAGGCCGGGCAGCCGCGUUGGAGGCAACUCCACCGAGGAAAGUCCGGGCUCCACGAAGCAAGGGUGGCGGGUAAUGCCCGCCCGGUGACCCUCUCGGGGGAAGCCGAGGGAAAGUGCCACAGAGAGUAUACCGCCGAUGGAGCCUAAAGCUCACAGGCAAGGGUGAAAGGGUGCGGCAAGAGCGCACCGGGGGACUGGUGACAGGACCCGCAUGGCAAACCCCACCCGGAGCAAGACCGCAUAGGGGUCUCGCGCCUUAGGGCAGGAGCGCUUCGCUCCGAGAGAUCCGGGUUGGUCGCUUGAGCGGCGGAGCAAUCCAUCGCCUAGAUGAAUGGCUGCCACUGCCGAUACGGUCCUGCAUGGGAUACCGUCGGCGGUACAGAACCCGGCUUACAGGCCUCCUG